UGUUUGCCAGCUAGCAUGGAGAGAAAUAUCAAAUUUAUUCCUCUCCCUCCAAUCAACAUUAGCAACACAUCCAUGAUGAAAACGAUACUCUUUUUUCUUGUCCUUCACGACAUGCAUAAUAUCCCUUCUAAAAAACAACUCCUACACACAAAAAUAGAACAACAAAUCUCUGAAAAGUUAGGUCGAUCCACUGCAACACCACAACCAUUAUAGCAACCACUUCAUAUCAACAACACUUUUUCUUUCCACCAUAAAAAACUAUCAUAACAUAACCAACCCAUCUUUUUCCUCUCUCUGAGCUCACUCAUCAACCAUCCAGUAGCUUCCGCUCUCGGUCUCUUUGCCGGCGAGGAAGUAGUUGGACCAUUUAAUAAAGCACUUCGACAGCACGCAUUCACGCCGCCACAAAAUCGUUAGAUCUUGCCGGAAAUAGAGCAUGCGGUAGAGGUAUUUGGUGCUUCCUCUUGGGUCUUCUUACAAUGAGACGGUUCUCUUACACCUACACUCAUAUAUUGCAUUGCUUGUUGGUUGGGCUAGAUUUAAUUAUUUCAUUAUUUUGAAUCCCAUUCGACAAAAUGUACCCUCACCCCCAUAAUAUGUAAUAAUUUUACUGUUUUAUUUCUUUA
Molecule: long non-coding RNA, 626 nt
Organism: Lathyrus oleraceus (garden pea)
Lineage: Eukaryota; Viridiplantae; Streptophyta; Magnoliopsida; Fabales; Fabaceae
Exons: 2
Source: RefSeq, a predicted model, not a curated record